AAUGUUGGGCAGAUGUAGGCAUUUCUGCGGCCCGUACUGCGGCCGCAGAACCACUAUUGCAAAUAGUGAUCCUUAGAAUUUUUCAAAUGGAGGUUUGGACUCAUUGGAUUUAACACUGCCUGUGGAGUUGAAGGAAAAUGUUGGGCAGAAGUAGAAGCACUAUGCGAACUGCAUAAUGGUCGAUGAGUGAGGCUGUUUUCUGGGGUGUUUUUGAUGUCGAUUUCGUGGCCAAUUAUGCGACCGCAUAUACGUUUCGCGGGCCGCACUUUGGCUGCAUAGACAUCCUUGGACUUUUGCAAAUGGAGGUUUGGACUUUUUGGAUUGAAUAGCGCCUUAGGAAUUGAAGGAAAACGUUGGGUAGAAGUAGAAGCACUAUGAGGACCGCAUAAUGGUCGCUGAGUGAGUCAGUUUUCUGGGGCAUUUUUUAUGUCGAUUUCGCGGCCAAUUAUGCGGCUGCAUAACCAUUUUGCGGGCUGCACUUUGGUCGCAUAGUCAUCCAUACACUUUUGCAUAGAGAGGUUCGGACUUUUUAGAUUGAACAUUGCCUGGGGAGAUGAAGGAAAAUGUUUGGCAGAAGUAGGCAUUUCUACAACACGUUCUGUGGUCGUGAAACUAGUCUGUGGACUGCAGAAUGGUCGCAGAGUGAGGUAGUUUUUUGGGGCAUUUUUGAUGCGAUUUCGCGGCCAAUUAUGUGACCGCAUAACCCUUUCGCGUGCUGCACUUUGGUCGCAUAGUCAUCCUUAGAGUCUUGCGAAGGGAGGUUCGGACUUUUUGGAUUGAACAGUGCCUGGGGAGUUGAAGGAAAAUGUUGGGCAGAAGAAGAAGCACUAUGAGGACCGCAGAAUGGUCGCUGAGUGAGGAAGUUUUCUCGAGCAUUUUUUAUGUCGAUUCCGCUACCAAUUAUAAGACCUCAUAAGCAUUUUGCGGGCCGCACUUUGGUUGCAUAGUCAUCCUUAGACUUUUGCGAUGGAAGGUUCGGACCUAUUUGAUUGAACAGUGCCUGGGGAAUUGAAGGAAAAUGUUGAGCAGAAGUAGGCAUUUGUGCGACACGUACUGCAGCCGCAGAACCACUAUUGCAAAUAGUUAUCCUUAGACUUUUGCAAAUAGAGGUUCGGACUUUUUGGAUUUAACACUGCUUGUGGAGUUGAAGGAAAAUGUUGGGCAGAAGUAGACGCACUAUGCGAACCGCAUAAUGGUC
This 1198-nucleotide long non-coding RNA is filed under the name Nicotiana tabacum (common tobacco). Its description in RNAcentral is "long non-coding RNA (NTAB_LNC000064)". Lineage: Eukaryota; Viridiplantae; Streptophyta; Magnoliopsida; Solanales; Solanaceae. The record is from RNAcentral.